Molecule: ribosomal RNA, 322 nt
Filed under: Eremina dillwyniana
Lineage: Eukaryota; Metazoa; Mollusca; Gastropoda; Stylommatophora; Helicidae
Also listed under: 3 other names
Description: eukaryotic LSU rRNA
Rfam family: Eukaryotic large subunit ribosomal RNA
Source: RNAcentral
UCCGACCUCAGAUCGGACGAGAUUACCCGCUGAAUUUAAGCAUAUAACUAAGCGGAGGAAAAGAAACUAACAAGGAUUCCCUCAGUAACGGCGAGUGAAGCGGGAAUAGCCCAGCACCGAAUCCCUCAGUGUCAUGCUGACGGGAACUGUGGUGUGUGGGACGCCACCAGUCGCAUCAGAGGGCGCCGAAGUCCUCCUGAUCGGGGCUUCACCCAGAGCGGGUGUAAGGCCUUUGCGGGUGCCUCUCUGUGCGGCCGCGAGCGUCUCAGGAGUCGGGUUGUUUGGGAAUGCAGCCCAAAGCGGGUGGUAAACUCCAUCUAAG